Molecule: ribosomal RNA, 254 nt
Filed under: uncultured bacterium
Lineage: Bacteria
Description: partial 16S ribosomal RNA
Rfam family: Bacterial small subunit ribosomal RNA
Source: RNAcentral
UACAGAGGGUGCGAGCGUUGUUCGGAAUUACUGGGCGUAAAGGGCGCGUAGGCGGCCACCGCAAGUCGACUGUGAAAUCUCCGGGCUUAACCCGGAAAGGUCAGCCGAUACUGCGGGGCUAGAGUGCAGAAGGGGCAACUGGAAUUCUCGGUGUAGCGGUGAAAUGCGUAGAUAUCGAGAGGAACACCUGCGGCGAAGGCGGGUUGCUGGGCUGACACUGACGCUGAUGCGCGAAAGCUAGGGGAGCGAACGGG